This 502-nucleotide ribosomal RNA is filed under the name Taenia sp. 'polyacantha-like' YW-2021. RNAcentral's name for it is "partial large subunit ribosomal RNA". The stretch from base 358 to 502 matches the Rfam family "Archaeal large subunit ribosomal RNA", at positions 1886 to 2077 of the family's 2987-position model. The record is from RNAcentral. Lineage: Eukaryota; Metazoa; Platyhelminthes; Cestoda; Cyclophyllidea; Taeniidae.
UAUAUUAAUGAAUAUCGAAAGUUUAGAUCUUAAAGUUAAUUGUUUAGAAUGCUAUUUAACUUGGGUAAAGUUAAUAAAAUUGAUUUUAUGAGGUGAUAAAUAAUUCGUUAAACUUUAUAACUAUUUGGUUGUCAGGGAUUUUAUAUUACAUAAUAGGUUAAAAGAUUUAUUAUGGGGUUAUAUUAUGAAAUGUUGUUAUUUAUAAGAUUAGGUUAAAAGUACCUAUUUUUUAUAAGUUUGUUAUAAAAUUAAUUAAUUGGAUUUAUAAUUAAUGUUAAUGACAACUUUAUGUAAAAAUUUAGAUUGUAUUUAUUAUUAAAUAAGUAAUUAUAUUAUAUUAAUUAUUUCUAAGUAUCUCUCCGUCUGUUUAUUAAAAACAUUUCUAACUUGAAUUGUAGUUAGUAGUGCCUGCCCAGUGUUGUUAAAUAAACGGCCGCAGUAUAUUGACUGUGCAAAGGUAGCAUAAUUAAUUGCCCUUUAAUUGGGGGCUUGUUUGAAUGGU